RNAcentral lists this unclassified non-coding RNA (636 nucleotides) under Hevea brasiliensis (rubber tree). Lineage: Eukaryota; Viridiplantae; Streptophyta; Magnoliopsida; Malpighiales; Euphorbiaceae. The record is from RNAcentral.
GUUACGAUGUAUCAAUAUUUCUCUAAUCUAAACAAAGAGGAAGAAGAAUAAGAAAAGCUCACCUUGCCUAUAGAAAAUGCUGCUAUAUUACAGUUUAAUACACAAUUCUUCAGUUUUCCCUUUAUGGGUAGAAGGGUUUUGCCCUGCCCUCCUAUUAUUUGGCUGCCACCAAAUUACAUUAACCAGUAACCACAGAACCACUACACACAAAAAUAUUACUACCUUUUUUUUUUGUUAAAAUCAUUCUCAGUCCUCUCUUUUAAAUUUCUCCAUCUCUUCCUCUGUUAUCACUGGAUGAUGACGCUUCUUCUUAUUCUUCUUGUUGUUUUCCAAAUGCAUCUUGACAUAAAAAUUCAAGAAAAGCAAAAGGAUUGCUCCAUUAAGCACUGAAUUGAAGAGCCAGGCUCCAAUUCCGUUGCACCCUCCUUUCAUAAAGUGAAGCAAGAGCACCCCAACAUGGCAAGCGAGGUUGCAACCCAACAACACCAUAUGGCAAUUCACUACGAAAGGGAAGCAAGCGCUGGGCAAGCCUAUUGCCGUCCAAAAUCUAUACCCAUAAACCACAGAGUAAGCCAAAGUAGCCAGAAGAAUUGCCAGGACCUGAAACGAUUGCGAGAAUUCAAGCCACAAGAAUGA